Molecule: transfer RNA, 70 nt
Filed under: Pristimantis cremnobates (Rio Reventador robber frog)
Lineage: Eukaryota; Metazoa; Chordata; Amphibia; Anura; Strabomantidae
Description: tRNA-Val
Source: RNAcentral
CAAAGCAUCACUUAAAUAAAGUACUUCGCUUACACCGAAGCUAUGUCUGUUGAACCCAGACUGCUCUGCG